CCUACGGGUGGCAGCAGUGAGGAAUAUUGGUCAAUGGCCGUAAGGCUGAACCAGCGAAGUCGCGUGAAGGAAGAAGGAUCUAUGGUUUGUAAACUUCUUUUAUAGGGGAAUAAAGUUAUCCACGUGUGGAUAUUUGCAUGUACCCUAUGAAUAAGCAUCGGCUAACUCCGUGCCAGCAGCCGCGGUAAUACGGAGGAUGCGAGCGUUACUCGGUAUUGCUGGGCGUAAAGCGCUCGGAGGCGGUAGUGCAAGUCAAGGGUGAAAUCCCCGCGCUCAACGUGGGAACUGCCUUUGAAACUGGCAAACUGGAGUGUGUGAGAGGAGAGUGGAAUUCCAGGUGUAGGAGUGAAAUCCGUAGAUAUCGGGAGGAACAUCAGUGGCGAAGGCGACUAGCUGGCACAUAACUGACGCUGAGGAGCGAAAGCGUGGGUAGCAAACAGGAUUAGAUACCCGGGUAGUC
This 460-nucleotide ribosomal RNA is filed under the name uncultured bacterium. Its description in RNAcentral is "partial 16S ribosomal RNA". It matches the Rfam family "Bacterial small subunit ribosomal RNA", at positions 338 to 795 of the family's 1533-position model. The record is from RNAcentral.